GGUGCAAUUGUUGGUUGGUAUGAUAAAUCUAUUUUUAGUUCUAAAGGAAACUGCCAAUCUAUUUCCCAGAGUGGCUGUACCAUUUUAUAUUCCUACCAGCAAU
RNAcentral lists this microRNA precursor (103 nucleotides) under Marmota monax (woodchuck). Lineage: Eukaryota; Metazoa; Chordata; Mammalia; Rodentia; Sciuridae. The record is from RNAcentral.